CCUACGGGAAGCAGCAGUGAGGAAUAUUGGUCAAUGGGCGUAAGCCUGAACCAGCCAAGUCGCGUGAGGGAUGAAGGUUCUAUGGAUCGUAAACCUCUUUUAUAAGGGAAUCAAGUGCGGGACGUGUCCCGUUUUGUAUGUACCUUAUGAAUAAGGAUCGGCUAACUCCGUGCCAGCAGCCGCGGUAAUACGGAGGAUCCGAGCUUUAUCCGGAUUUAUUGGGUUUAAAGGGUGCGUAGGCGGCCUUUUAAGUCAGCGGUGAAAGUCUGUGGCUCAACCAUAGAAUUGCCGUUGAAACUGGGAGUCUUGAUUAUGUUUGAGGCAGGCGGAAUGCGUGGUGGAGCGGUGAAAUGCUUAGAUAUCACGCAGAACCCCGAUUGCGAAGGCAGCCUGCCAAGCCAUGACUGACGCUGAUGCACGAAAGCGUGGGGAUCAAACAGGAUUAGAUACCCGAGUAGUC
This 460-nucleotide ribosomal RNA is filed under the name uncultured bacterium. Its description in RNAcentral is "partial 16S ribosomal RNA". It matches the Rfam family "Bacterial small subunit ribosomal RNA", at positions 338 to 795 of the family's 1533-position model. The record is from RNAcentral.